UCAUUUCACAUUAUAUUAAGCAAACCAGACAGCACUUUUUUAAAUAAAUGGUAAAGUACUUUACACCACUGUCACAUAUGAAGCUUUAUUGGCGCUCCUUCCACAUUACAGAAAAUUCAACCUGUAUAUUUUUGUCACAGUUUGUGCAACGGUCUAUUGUACUUUGUUGUGGAGGAGAUCAGAUAUAACUUUUGGCAAGGAACCACCCCUGAAACCAACCAUGCUCAACUGUGUGUGCUGGACAAGUUCCGAACAUUUUUAUGAGAUGCACUGAAGUGUGUGUGUGGAGGGUUGUCAUAUUGUAUCCCUCCUACUGUACAGUGGAUUUAAAGAUAUUUGCUGAUGCCUUGGUCAAUAAUGUGAUGAUAUUCUUCUACAACAUUACUUCAGGAGAUGUCAGUCCCCUUACUACGAUAUUAAAGACUGUGGUGUGACAAUUCUGUGGGUCGAGAGAGAAGACCUGUUGUGCGUUCGUGCGCAUGAUGACCUGAAUUGGAGGUGAAUGUUGUUGACGAGGGCCUAACCAGGCCUCAACCAAACCAUGACUGACUCCUGAAGGGAGAAUCUAACGAUCUCUGAGGACAAACCACAGUAUUAUGGCGAUCCUGACCUGCAUCUUUACACACAUGCUUUAGGAUUGGCUCUAGAAUUGAAGCAUUACUGUUCAGUUGGCUUCCGUCAUGCUGGAGGAUCCAAACGGAGACGAAUCAGAGAAACUAUAUUCAUAAUUCACUUUGUAUUGAUAGCAUAUUAUGCCAUGCCAGAGAUCAUUUUUAUUUGGCCCCUUUUUAAUAAAUAGAUUAAACAUCAACUGACGCACACUUUGGCGUUAACUCAAUGUCACAUUUCAGUAUCGUUUUCUAAAAGUAGGAUUCUGUCUAUCUCCUAUCAGGGAUCUUGGUGUUGCCUUAGCAAUGGCUGUGGAGUUGAAUAGGUCCUAUACUAUUUAAUGUAUUCAGACUGAAUGUGUCCAUUGUUUCUAUAAGAAUUUAGGUCUAUAAGGUCUUGGUUGUUAUCACCGUGGUAACAUACCAAAACCUUGAUACUUUAAAACUGAUAACGAUGACUGAGAAUAUCUCCAACACUGGCGCUCCUCACAGAAGCAGCUCCUAUGGGUAUGAUGUGGAACGGUAAAGACUAAGUGCUAUUGCAUCGGUUUAUUAUUUAUUUUGUUGACUAAGUACAGUAUCCUCACAUGGAAUCAAUCUUUUAUGAUGGUCAGUAUUAUUAUAUUUAUUUAUUGGUUGUGGUGUUAUUGCUAAUGGAAAAAUGUUAGCCUUCAUUAUUCAUUCAAAGCAACUAAUCAAGAACUAUUUGCCUCCGCCUGACCAGCAUAGAGCUCUCUCAGGCCCAGCGCCCAGGUCGAAAUCCCUCCGCCUGACCAGCAUAGAGCUCUCUCAGGCCCAGCGCCCAGGUCGAAAUCCCUCCGCCUGACCAGCAUAGAGCUCUCUCAGGCCCAUCGCCCAGGUCAAUAUCCCUCUGCCUGACCAGCAUAGAGCUCUCUCAGGCCCAUCGCCCAGGUCGAAAUCCCUCCGCCUGACCAGCAUAGAGCUCUCUCAGGCCCAGCGCCCAGGUCGAUAUCCCUCCGCCUGACCAGCAUAGAGCUCUCUCAGGCCCAGCGCCCAGGUCGAUAUCCCUCCGCCUGACCAGCAUAGAGCUCUCUCAGGCCCAGCGCCCAGGUCGAUAUCCCUCCGCCUGACCAGCAUAGAGCUCUCUCAGGCCCAGCGCCCAGGUCGAUAUCCCUCCGCCUGACCAGCAUUAGAGCUCUUACCCUCAAAACGGGAAUCAAUGGUGAAACAGCCACAUCCAUUUGUGAUAUUACAACAACAAAUUGUACUUUGUAGAAGAGCUUAAUAUGUACUGCAUUGUUUUCACCAUGCUGCACGACACUCCACAGCUCAGCAACAACAAUAACAACGGUGGUGGGGCGGCCAGUGGAGCUGUUUCCCCCUCUGACAGCCUUCAGAACUCUGGCUUGUAUCCACAAAGCAUCUGAGGAGAAAUGCUGAUCUAGGAACAGGCCCCAUGUCUCCAUAUAAUCAUUAUUCAUUGAGCUCUAAAUGGCAAUACUGGUCCUAGAUCAGCUGUUUCUCCAGACAAUUGUUAGGGCUCUGUGAACACACAGCAGAUGUUUUCUUUACUGUGUGUAGUUCUUCUAUUUAUAUUAUCUAGGUUCAGUACAUCACUAUUAAACUGUGCAAUUCUGAAAUGUU
Molecule: long non-coding RNA, 2213 nt
Organism: Coregonus clupeaformis (lake whitefish)
Lineage: Eukaryota; Metazoa; Chordata; Actinopteri; Salmoniformes; Salmonidae
Exons: 2
Source: RefSeq, a predicted model, not a curated record